RNAcentral lists this ribosomal RNA (253 nucleotides) under uncultured bacterium. RNAcentral's name for it is "partial 16S ribosomal RNA". It matches the Rfam family "Bacterial small subunit ribosomal RNA", at positions 524 to 776 of the family's 1533-position model. The record is from RNAcentral.
UACGGAGGAUCCGAGCGUUAUCCGGAUUUAUUGGGUUUAAAGGGUGCGUAGGCGGCCUUUUAAGUCAGCGGUGAAAGUCUGUGGCUCAACCCUAGAGUUGCCGUUGAAACUGGGGGGCUUGAGUGUGUUUGAGGCAGGCGGAAUGCGUGGUGUAGCGGUGAAAGGCAUAGAUAUCAGGCGGAACCCCGAUUGCGAAGGCAGCCUGCAAAGCCAUUACUGACGCUGAUGCACGAAAGCGUGGGGAUCAAACAGG